RNAcentral lists this ribosomal RNA (774 nucleotides) under uncultured Neocallimastigales. RNAcentral's name for it is "partial large subunit ribosomal RNA". It matches the Rfam family "Eukaryotic large subunit ribosomal RNA", at positions 26 to 639 of the family's 3401-position model. The record is from RNAcentral. Lineage: Eukaryota; Fungi; Neocallimastigomycota; Neocallimastigomycetes; Neocallimastigales.
CGCAUCUGUGCAUGCAGCAUAUCAAUAAGCGGAGGAAAAGAAACUAACAGGGAUUCCCUUAGUAACGGCGAGUGAAGCGGGAAGAGCUCAAAUUUGAAAUCUUCAAGGUUUUACCUUGACGAAUUGUAGUUUAAAGAAGUGUUUUCUGUUGAAGUUUUGGUAAAAGUUCUUUGGAAUAGGACAUCAUAGAGGGUGAGAAUCCCGUAUUUGACCAUUAUUUUCAGCUGUGUGAUACACUUUCAAAGAGUCGGAUUGUUUGGGAAUGCAGUCCAAAAUGGGUGGUAAAUUUCAUCUAAAGCUAAAUAUUGGCGAGAGACCGAUAGCGAACAAGUACCGCGAGGGAAAGAUGAAAAGAACUUUGAAAAGAGAGUUAAACAGUACGUGAAAUUGUCAAAAGGGAAGCGUUUGACACCAGUGUUGUUUUCUCGAAAAUCAAUUAAAAAGAGUUUGAUUUUGUUGUGUAUUGACCUUAACAGCUUGCAUUUCAAUUUUCUUGCUUUUUUUAAUGCACUUUUCGUUUAACAAGUCAACAUCAGUUUCUUUUGUUGUAAAAAGGUCAUUGGAAGGUGGCUUUCUUUUCGGAGAAAGUGUUUAUAGCCUUUGACUCCUGCAAUCGGAGAGACUGAGGUCUGCAGCGUAGAUCCUUCGGGGUUAGAUACAUUUGUGCUAAGUUAUAGCUUUUUAUAGACAACUUGUUGACUAUGAUUAGUCUUGUAGCUUACUCGCUUAUGCUAUUUUACCUACGCUUAGGAUGUUGACGCGCGUGUGUGCGUG